CGGAGGGUGCAAGCGUUAUCCGGAUUUAUUGGGUUUAAAGGGUCCGUAGGCGGAUCCGUAAGUCAGUGGUGGAAUCUCACAGCUUAACUGUGAAACUGCCAUUGAUACUGCGGGUCUUGAGUAAGGUAGAAGUGGCUGGAAUAAGUAGUGUAGCGGUGAAAUGCAUAGAUAUUACUUAGAACACCAAUUGCGAAGGCAGGUCACUAUGUCUUAACUGACGCUGAUGGACGAAAGCGUGGGGAGCGAACAGGAUUAGAUACCCUGGUAGUCCACGCCGUAAACGAUGCUAACUCGUUUUGGGCUUUCGGGUUCAGAGACUAAGCGAAAGUGAUAAGUUAGCCACUGGGAGUACGUCGACAAGAAUG
This 365-nucleotide ribosomal RNA is filed under the name uncultured organism. RNAcentral describes it as "bacterial SSU rRNA". It matches the Rfam family "Bacterial small subunit ribosomal RNA", at positions 526 to 896 of the family's 1533-position model. The record is from RNAcentral.